CUCGCUCACCCCCGAUCGACCGCCCACUAUACGACCUCGGUCGAUCUAGUGGAGCGGUAAACGGGCCGCCUUUGAAUUCCACCCCGCGAGUAGUCUUGGCGCUCUCCGCGUCCCGCUCACUAGCCAGCAGCCACCCUACCUCGCCCUGGUUGACGCUAUAUAUUGUUGUCGCGGUGCUACUUACCUGAGAGAUGGGGGAGAACGGCGUGGGCAAGAACUACUACCAGGGGAGCGCGGCGGCGGCCAUGGAGGUGUCCUCCGUGGAGCACGGCCAGGCGGGCGGCUCCAAGUGCUACGACGACGACGGCCGCCUCAAGCGUACCGGGACGAUGUGGACGGCGAGCGCCCACAUCAUCACGGCGGUGAUCGGGUCCGGGGUGCUGUCGCUGGCCUGGGCCAUCGGCCAGCUCGGCUGGGUGGCCGGCCCCGCCGUCAUGCUGCUCUUCUCCCUCGUCACCUACUACACCUCCUCGCUGCUCUCCGACUGCUACCGCUCCGGCGACGAGACCACCGGCAAGCGCAACUACACCUACAUGGACGCCGUCAACGCCAACCUCAGUGGCAUCAAGGUCCAGCUCUGCGGGUUCCUGCAGUACGCCAACAUCGUCGGCGUCGCCAUCGGAUACACCAUCGCCGCCUCCAUUAGCAUGCUUGCGAUCAAGAGGGCCAACUGCUUCCACGUCAAGGGGCACGUGAACCCGUGCCACAUCUCGAGCACGCCCUACAUGAUCAUCUUCGGCGUGGCGGAGAUCUUCUUCUCUCAGAUCCCGGACUUCGACCAGAUCUCCUGGCUCUCCAUCCUGGCCGCCAUCAUGUCCUUCACCUACUCCACCAUCGGCCUCGGCCUCGGGAUCGUCCAGGUGGUCGCCAACAAGGGCGUCAAGGGCAGCCUCACCGGCAUCAGCAUCGGCGUCGUCACGCCCAUGGACAAGGUGUGGCGGAGCCUCCAGGCCUUCGGCGACAUCGCCUUCGCCUACUCCUACUCGCUCAUCCUCAUCGAGAUCCAGGACACCAUCAGGGCGCCGCCGCCGUCCGAGGCCAAGGUCAUGCGCCGCGCCACCGUCGUCAGCGUCGCCACCACCACUCUCUUCUACAUGCUCUGCGGCUGCAUGGGCUACGCCGCCUUCGGCGACAACGCCCCCGGGAACCUCCUCACCGGCUUCGGCUUCUACGAGCCCUUCUGGCUCCUCGACAUCGCCAACGCCGCCAUCGUCGUCCACCUCGUCGGCGCCUACCAGGUCUACUGCCAGCCCCUGUUCGCCUUCGUCGAGAAGUGGGCGCAGCAGAGGUGGCCCAAGUCAGGGUUCAUCACCAGAGAGAUCCAGGUCCCGCUCGUCUCCUCCGGCUUCAAGCUCAACCUCUUCCGCCUGACGUGGCGGUCGGCGUUCGUGGUGGCGACGACCGUGGUGUCCAUGCUUCUGCCCUUCUUCAACGACGUCGUCGGCUUCCUCGGCGCCAUCGGGUUCUGGCCGCUCACCGUCUACUUCCCCGUGGAGAUGUACAUCGUGCAGAAGAAGAUACCCAAGUGGAGCUCACAGUGGGUGUGCCUACAGCUACUCAGCCUCGCCUGCCUCAUCAUCACCAUUGCCGCCGCCGCCGGCUCCAUCGCCGGGAUAAUGUCCGACUUAAAGGUCUACAAGCCGUUCUCCACGACUGACUGAUCGAUGCGUGGCUGGCCGUCGCAUGAAUGCACAGAUCCUCGAUGGACAGAAUAUGCCUAAAAGCUCUAAUCAAUUAAUCAACCAAUUAUCACACGUUCACUAAAAAUUACAUGCUCAAGUAAUUGUUGCUUCUAAACAGCCGGCGGACCACCGGUGCUGCUGAUUUUCAUUUUCCUUUGUUUGCCAUCCACCGUGUUAACUGAAAAUGGUAGAGGGGAACCAAAAUAGUGUACUUCCAAAUUGGUGUGAUUGGUAAGUACGUUAAUGAGAAAUGAAUGUUCUCAUGAUAACUACUUGAGUGAUAUUAAGAUCAUUCUCCAGAUGAGCCUGAAUUUCUUCUUGGUGCAAUUUGUCGACUCGUGCGACCAUGACAUUUUUUUUAUUUGAUAAAACAGCCCCUCUUUAUUACUCCCUCCGUUCCCAAAUAUUUGUCUUUCUAGACAUUUCAAGUGGACACAACAUACGGAUGUAUGUAGACAUAUUUUAGAGUGUAGAUUCACUCAUUUUGCU
This 2171-nucleotide ribosomal RNA is filed under the name Triticum aestivum (bread wheat). Its description in RNAcentral is "partial small subunit ribosomal RNA". Lineage: Eukaryota; Viridiplantae; Streptophyta; Magnoliopsida; Poales; Poaceae. The record is from RNAcentral.